CCUACGGGUGGCAGCAGUAGGGAAUCUUCCACAAUGGACGAAAGUCUGAUGGAGCAACGCCGCGUGAGUGAAGAAGGGUUUCGGCUCGUAAAGCUCUGUUGGUAGUGAAGAAAGAUAGAGGUAGUAACUGGCCUUUAUUUGACGGUAAUUACUUAGAAAGUCACGGCUAACUACGUGCCAGCAGCCGCGGUAAUACGUAGGUGGCAAGCGUGGUCCGGAUUUAUUGGGUUUAAAGGGUGCGCAGGCGGCCUGUUAAGUCAGCGGUAAAAGCCCGGGGCUCAACCCCGGCGAGCCGUUGAAACUGGCGGGCUGGAGUUGGAGAGAAGUACGCGGAAUGCGCGGUGUAGCGGUGAAAUGCUUAGAUAUCGCGCAGAACCCCGAUUGCGAAGGCAGCGUACCGGCUCCACACUGACGCUGAGGCACGAAAGCGUGGGUAUCGAACAGGAUUAGAUACCCCGGUAGUC
RNAcentral lists this ribosomal RNA (464 nucleotides) under uncultured bacterium. Its description in RNAcentral is "partial 16S ribosomal RNA". It matches the Rfam family "Bacterial small subunit ribosomal RNA", at positions 338 to 795 of the family's 1533-position model. The record is from RNAcentral.